GGGCGAUUAGCUCAGUGGGAGAGCGCUUCCUUCACACGGAAGAGGUCACAGGUUCGAUCCCUGUAUCGCCCAUCA
Molecule: transfer RNA, 75 nt
Filed under: Thermodesulfovibrio aggregans
Lineage: Bacteria; Pseudomonadati; Nitrospirota; Thermodesulfovibrionia; Thermodesulfovibrionales; Thermodesulfovibrionaceae
Description: tRNA-Val
Rfam family: tRNA
About the family: Transfer RNA (tRNA) molecules are approximately 80 nucleotides in length. Their secondary structure includes four short double-helical elements and three loops (D, anti-codon, and T loops).
Source: RNAcentral